UUGUAAGGAUGGGAACAACCAGAUGCUACCACUGGCCUGGGUAGUGGUUGAAGUUGAGAAUACUUUUACUUGGAGAUGGUUUGUCGACAUUCUAAGGCAUGAUCUUGAGCUUGGAGAUGGGACUGGUUUGACAACUCUUUCAGAUAUGCAAAAGGGUCUGGAUAUAGCCAUUAACGAUCUGUUGCCAAAUGUAGAACAAAGAAUGUGUGCAAGACAUGUGCUUCCCAAUUUUUCCAAGACAUGAAAAGGCACAGAGAUUAGAAACUGCUUCUGGAGAUGUGCUAAGUCCACAUAUGAGCAGGAGUUGCAAAAAAAUUUGGAUCAUAUGGAGAAGUUAGGUGAUGGAAUAAAUGGAGAUUUGUUGUAUUACAACAUAGAUAGGUGGUCCAAGGUCUACUUUAAAUACCUCAGUUGUUGUGACAGUGUUGACAACAACAUGGCUGAGAGUUUCAAUUCCUGGAUUUUGGGGCCAAGGCACAAGACCAUUAUCAUAAUGCUUGAGGAAAUUAGAGUCAAAAUGAUGAGAAGGAUAAGACAACUAAGGGAGUUUUCUCAGACUUGGAUAAUAGAUAUCAGCCCAACGGCUUUGAAGGUAUUGCAAGAGAACACAUCAAAGUCAAUGAAGUGUACUCUUGAAUGGAAUGGUGAAUAUGGUUUUGAGGUCAAGGAAAGCUGGGGUAAUAAAUUCAUAGUAAAUCUGAACACCAAGACUUGCACUUGUAGAUCAUGGAUGCUGAAAGGUAUUCCCUGCUGUCAUGCUAUAGCUGCACUUCAUUUCAGAAAAUUGGAACCUAUUGACUAUGUUGCACAUUGUUAUACUAAGGACGCUUACCUCAAAACCUACAACUCAUUCAUUCAACCUGUUACUAAUAUGGCAAUGUGGCCAAAGUCAACCAAUCCUCCUGUCCUCCCACUUGAGAUUAAAAAGCUGCCAGGUAGGCCAAAGAAGUGUAGAAGAAAGGAGCUGACAGGUAAGCUGUCAAAAAGAGGUGUUGAGAUGACCUGCAGCUUGUGCCAUGCAAAGGGUCACAAUAAGAAGGGUUGUCCUAUGAAUCCACAAUCUGUGAGAGGCAGAGGAAGGGGAAGGGAGGAGAGGGAAAAGUACCAGUUCAACAAGGUCAAGUGUUGGUUCUUCUAUAGUACCAAGUGAUUCUCAACCAAGUAGAGGAAGGGGAAGACCAAGAGGUUCUACCAAACAGCUAUGGCUGCUAGAACAUUUCAAUCUGGAAGGGUAAGAGGACAAUAUGCUACAUCACAGGUAUUACUUAGCUUGUUAAAUUACCACUUAAUCAAUUUUACAAUUCCAAGUGUUGACACCUUAAAUGUGACUUAGGCUUCUGAUGCAAGUACAUCAGUUACUGGAAGAAGGGCACCCUUUAAGAGGCCAAGAGUUGUGGGAAUGGGAGUUCUUCAAACCUAAAGUGGUUUCACAAUUGUCAAUCCUGGAAUGCCAAAUCAGUCUUCAACCAUGCCUAUGAAUUCAGCAGUAGUCACUGGUAGUCUUGGCCAUCACAAACCAAGACCAGGAGGAAUGAAAUGGAAAAGGAGUCCAGCUAUAACACAACAAGGUCUUCAAGAGAUGAGAGGACAAAAGAGAAUGAAAACAAAGGCCAAAGCUGCUGAGUUAAAUUAUUUAAGUCAAACAAGUUCAUCAGCUGCCCAGAAAUGAAAUGAAAAAAAUGAA
Molecule: long non-coding RNA, 1684 nt
Organism: Lycium ferocissimum
Lineage: Eukaryota; Viridiplantae; Streptophyta; Magnoliopsida; Solanales; Solanaceae
Exons: 4
Source: RefSeq, a predicted model, not a curated record